Myotis myotis is the source of this 1362-nucleotide long non-coding RNA. RefSeq lists it as uncharacterized. The record is from RefSeq and is a predicted model, not a curated record. Lineage: Eukaryota; Metazoa; Chordata; Mammalia; Chiroptera; Vespertilionidae. The transcript has 2 exons.
AAGACGAAAGCAGAAACCGAGCCCGUGGGCAGGACUGCAGUUCGGCCUCUCCGGCCCACGCUCCUCCCCGGGCCCGGGGGAAUGACUUCCUUCCCGUCUGGAGAGAAGAGCACGGGCUCAGGAGGCCCUCCUGCGGACAGCUCCAAGCCGGGGCACCCCGCAAACCGGGAGCCGGGCCUGAGCUCGGGGCCCCGUCUGCGCAGGAGGGCUUGCCCACUGGAGGGCUCUCAGGGGGGCAGCUCCAGCCCUUUCACACUCGUCAUCGCCAGAAGCCUGCGGAGAACCCAGGCCACACGCGGAGCGCACGGGACACAGGUGCACACGGGACACAGGUGCGCACGGGACACAGGUGCGCACGGGACACAGGUGCGCACGGGACACAGGUGCGCAGGCCGAGCGGCUCAGAGCCUCAUCCUCCGCGAGCAGGGACCGCACAGCCCGCCCGCCCCUCCGGACAGCCCCGCCGUGAGGCUGACGGGCAGGAAAGGUGACGUGUGUCCGUCCUCACGAGCCAAUGAGUCUGAGUUCAGGAUGCUGCGGACGCGUUCCCAUCCUGUGAGCCUCAUGAGCCGUCUGCCAGCUGGAGUGCCGCUCACUGCCGGGCCCUUUCCUGCCCCGAAAGGCCCCGGCCCUCGGAGACCAGCCCUCCCCCGUCCUUCCCGGAGUUCCCGGAGCGUCAGCACUGGGUGACCUAACUGCCUUUACCCGCGUGACGCCGGUCCUUCCCAGCGACGGGCACUGGCCGCGGAGACCAGCAGGAAGCCCUGGGCUGGAGACCUCGGGCGUGCCUGUGGUCCGCUAUUCUAAGGCAUCGACGUUGUUUUAAGCGGAGAUCAUGCUAGACACAUUAGUGGUUAUCACUGAUUUUUAAAAUACUUUUACUGAUUUCAGAGAGGAAAGAGAGACAUAGAAACAUCAAUGAUGAGAGAGCAUCAUUGACCGGCAGCCUCCCGCGUACCCACGACUGGGGAUCGAGCCCGCAACCCGGGCCUGUGCCCUGCCUGGGAAUCAAAAGUCAGCCUGCUUUAUAGGUCGACGCUCAACCACUGAGCCACGCCGGCCGGGCGGUUCUUGUUUUGUAGAGUGAGUGAUGGUCGGUCUGUGCCGAUGCUGCUGACCGACCCGCGGCCUUCGGAGCCCCAACACGGUAUUCUCCUGAGAGGCAGCGUCCCCCCAGCCCACGGGCCUCUCCAAACCCUCCCUUAAGGUCCGCUGUCUGCCUGGCCGUGUCUCCCGCCCUCAUGACUUAUCCUAGGGCAGAACCUAUGACACACGUGUCAGAGGUAACACGCGAACUCUUUUUUGGUUGAUUUUUCUUUGUUAAAUGGCAUUUAAAUAUAUAAAAUAAAUAUCAAAAAUAUA